GUAAAUGAUUCAUUGUUAAAGGUAAACCAUAAAACUCAGUAUUAAAAUUCCAGAAACCAUCCAUGGAUCCAAAGGAGACAACUUGCUUUUGCCAAGCACAAGCAUGUUAUAUCAGGAAUCUUAAGUGAACUUGAAAGAAUAUGAUUUGGGAAGGCUUCUUGAUGAUGAAAGUCAGCCUGAUGAACAUGUCACUCCAAAUUUUCAGGUGCGUCUAAGAAUGUUUGUUCAAACCAAGAAGAAAGAUGAUGCAUUUUGAUAAACACCCAAGGCACGAUGUUGACAAGUCUUUAUUUCUCGCUAGAACUUUUGUUUGGAAAA
Molecule: long non-coding RNA, 318 nt
Organism: Brassica oleracea var. oleracea
Lineage: Eukaryota; Viridiplantae; Streptophyta; Magnoliopsida; Brassicales; Brassicaceae
Exons: 3
Source: RefSeq, a predicted model, not a curated record